AUCGGUGACAGGUGCUGCAUGGCUGUCGUCAGCUCGUGUCGUGAGAUGUUGGGUUAAGUCCCGCAACGAGCGCAACCCUUAUCAUUAGUUGCUACGCAAGGGCACUCUAAUGAGACUGCCGGUGGACAAACCGGGAGGAAGGUGGGGAUGACGUCAAGUCCUCAUGGCCCUUAUGGGUAGGGCUUCACACGUCAUACAAUGGUCGGUACAGAGGGUUGCCAAGCCGCGAGGCGGAGCCAAUCCCACAAAGCCGAUCGUAGUCCGGAUUGUUCUCUGCAACUCGAGAGCAUGAAGUCGGAAUCGCUAGUAAUCGCAGGUCAGCAUACUGCGGUGAAUACGUUCCCGGGUCUU
RNAcentral lists this ribosomal RNA (351 nucleotides) under uncultured Thiobacillus sp. Its description in RNAcentral is "bacterial SSU rRNA". It matches the Rfam family "Bacterial small subunit ribosomal RNA", at positions 1027 to 1382 of the family's 1533-position model. Lineage: Bacteria; Pseudomonadati; Pseudomonadota; Betaproteobacteria; Nitrosomonadales; Thiobacillaceae. The record is from RNAcentral.